Molecule: ribosomal RNA, 998 nt
Filed under: Clostridioides difficile
Lineage: Bacteria; Bacillati; Bacillota; Clostridia; Peptostreptococcales; Peptostreptococcaceae
Description: partial 23S ribosomal RNA
Rfam family: Bacterial large subunit ribosomal RNA
Source: RNAcentral
UGAACUUAAGCCCCAGUAAACGGCGGCCGUAACUAUAACGGUCCUAAGGUAGCGAAAUUCCUUGUCGGGUAAGUUCCGACCCGCACGAAAGGCGUAACGAUUUGGGCACUGUCUCAACAACAGACUCGGUGAAAUUGUAAUUCCGGUGAAGAUGCCGGAUACCUGCGACAGGACGGAAAGACCCCAUGGAGCUUUACUGUAGCUUGACAUUGGGUCUUGGUACUACAUGUACAGGAUAGGUGGGAGGCUUUGAAACCAGGACGCCAGUUUUGGCGGAGCCAUCCUUGGGAUACCACCCUUGUAGUACUGGGACUCUAACCAUAGGCCAUGAAUCUGGUCUUGGGACACUGUCAGGUGGGCAGUUUGACUGGGGCGGUCGCCUCCCAAAAGGUAACGGAGGCGCUCAAAGGUUCUCUCAGUACGGUCGGAAAUCGUACGUAGAGUGUAAAGGCAAAAGAGAGCUUGAUUGCAAGACAUACAGGUCGAGCAAGGAUGAAAAUCGGACUUAGUGAUCCGGUGGUUCUGCGUGGAAGGGCCAUCGCUCAACGGAUAAAAGCUACCCUGGGGAUAACAGGCUUAUCUCCCCCAAGAGUCCACAUCGACGGGGAGGUUUGGCACCUCGAUGUCGGCUCAUCACAUCCUGGGGCUGUAGUAGGUCCCAAGGGUUGGGCUGUUCGCCCAUUAAAGUGGUACGCGAGCUGGGUUCAGAACGUCGUGAGACAGUUCGGUCCCUAUCCGUCGCAGGCGUAGGAAAUUUGAGAAGACCUGUCCUUAGUACGAGAGGACCGGGAUGGACGUACCUCUGGUGUACCAGUUGUCCUGCCAAGGGCAUGGCUGGGUAGCUAUGUACGGAAUGGAUAAGCGCUGAAAGCAUCUAAGCGCGAAGCCAACUUCAAGAUAAGAUUUCCCACCGCAAGGGUAAGACCCCAGAAAGACUAUCUGGUUGAUAGGUCGAAGGUGUAAGUGCAGCAAUGUAUUUAGCUUAUCGAUACUAAUAG